This 62-nucleotide transfer RNA is filed under the name Nippostrongylus brasiliensis. It matches the Rfam family "tRNA". Rfam says of the family: Transfer RNA (tRNA) molecules are approximately 80 nucleotides in length. Their secondary structure includes four short double-helical elements and three loops (D, anti-codon, and T loops). Lineage: Eukaryota; Metazoa; Nematoda; Chromadorea; Rhabditida; Heligmosomidae. The record is from Rfam by way of RNAcentral.
ACAUUGGUAGCACAGUGGUGCAGUGAAUCGGAAAGACGCGGGUUCAAUUCCCGUCCGAUGUC